ACAUGCAAGUCGAACGAGAAAGUUCCUUCGGGAGCGAGUAAAGUGGCGGACGGGUGAGUAACGCGUAGGAAUCUACCUUUCAGUGGGGGAUAGCUCGGGGAAACUCGAAUUAAUACCGCAUACACCCUUCGGGGGAAAGGGGGCCUCUCCUUGGAAGCUCUCGCUGUUAGAUGAGCCUGCGUGAGAUUAGCUUGUUGGUAAGGUAAUGGCUUACCAAGGCUACGAUCUCUAGCUGGUCUGAGAGGACGAUCAGCCACACUGGGACUGAGACACGGCCCAGACUCCUACGGGAGGCAGCAGUAGGGAAUAUUGGACAAUGGGGGCAACCCUGAUCCAGGCAUGCCGCGUGUGUGAAGAAGGCCUUAGGGUUGUAAAGCACUUUAAGUGAGGAAGAAAAGAUUUAAAUUAAUACUUUAAGUCCCUGACAUUACUCACAGAAUAAGGACCGGCUAACUCCGUGCCAGCAGCCGCGGUAAUACGGAGGGUCCAAGCGUUAAUCGGAAUUACUGGGCGUAAAGCGCGCGUAGAUGGUUUAUUCAGUUGGGUGUGAAAUCCCUGGGCUCAACCUAGGAACUGCAUUCAAAACUUAUAAACUAGAGUACGAAAGAGGAGAGUAGAAUUCAUGGUGUAGCGGUGAAAUGCGUAGAGAUCAUGAGGAAUACCAGUGGCGAAGGCGACUCUCUGGUUCGAGACUGACAUUGAGGUGCGAAAGCGUGGGUAGCAAACAGGAUUAGAUACCCUGGUAGUCCACGCCGUAAACGAUGAGAACUAGCCGUUGGAUCUUUAGAUUCAGUGGCGCAGCUAACGCAUUAAGUUCUCCGCCUGGGGAGUACGGCCGCAAGGCUAAAACUCAAAUGAUUGACGGGGGCCCGCACAGCGUGGAGCAUGUGUUUAUUCGAUGCACGCGAAGACCUUACAACCUGACAUCAGUGAAGUUUAGAGAUAAACUGUGCUUGGAAACUGUGACAGUGUGCAUGCUGCGUCAGCUCGGUCGGGAAUGUAUGUAAGUCCAGUACG
This 1017-nucleotide ribosomal RNA is filed under the name uncultured Gammaproteobacteria bacterium. RNAcentral's name for it is "bacterial SSU rRNA". It matches the Rfam family "Bacterial small subunit ribosomal RNA", at positions 53 to 1094 of the family's 1533-position model. Lineage: Bacteria; Pseudomonadati; Pseudomonadota; Gammaproteobacteria. The record is from RNAcentral.